Molecule: ribosomal RNA, 422 nt
Filed under: uncultured bacterium
Lineage: Bacteria
Description: bacterial SSU rRNA
Rfam family: Bacterial small subunit ribosomal RNA
Source: RNAcentral
UAUUGGACAAUGGGCGCAAGCCUGAUCCAGCAACGCCGCGUGGAGGACGAAGGUCUUCGGAUUGUAAACUCCUGUCAGGCGGGACGAAGGGUUGGGGGCAAAUAGUUCCUGAUCUUGACGGUACUGCCAGAGGAAGCCCCGGCUAACUCCGUGCCAGCAGCCGCGGUAAUACGGAGGGGGCGAGCGUUAUUCGGAAUCAUUGGGCGUAAAGGGCGCGUAGGCGGCCCGGUAAGUCAAAGGUGAAAUCCCUCGGCUCAACUGAGGAACUGCCUUUGAAACUGCCGGGCUUGAGGCCGGGAGGGGGUGGCGGAAUUCCCAGUGUAGCGGUGAAAUGCGUAGAUAUUGGGAGGAACACCAGUGGCGAAGGCGGCCACCUGGACCGGUACUGACGCUGAUGCGCGAAAGCGUGGGGAGCAAACAGG